This 403-nucleotide ribosomal RNA is filed under the name uncultured cyanobacterium. RNAcentral describes it as "bacterial SSU rRNA". It matches the Rfam family "Bacterial small subunit ribosomal RNA", at positions 370 to 788 of the family's 1533-position model. The record is from RNAcentral. Lineage: Bacteria; Bacillati; Cyanobacteriota.
AAUGGGCGAAAGCCUGACGGAGCAAGACCGCGUGCGGGAGGAAGGUCUAUUGAUUGUAAACCGCUUUUGAUAGGGAAGAAGAUCUGACGGUACCUAUCGAAUCAGCAUCGGCUAACUCCGUGCCAGCAGCCGCGGUAAUACGGGGGAUGCAAGCGUUAUCCGGAAUUAUUGGGCGUAAAGCGUCCGUAGGUGGUUUUAUAAGUCUGUUGUCAAAUCGCGAGGCUUAACCUCGUACAGGCAGUGGAAACUAUAAGACUAGAGUGCGGUAGGGGUAGAGGGAAUUUCCAGUGUAGCGGUGAAAUGCGUAGAUAUUGGAAAGAACACCGGUGGCGAAGGCGCUCUACUGGGCCUGCACUGACACUGAGGGACGAAAGCUAGGGGAGCGAAAGGGAUUAGAUACCCC